CUACGGGGGGCUGCAGUGGGGAAUAUUGGACAAUGGGGGAAACCCUGAUCCAGCAAUGCCGCGUGUGUGAAGAAGGCCUGCGGGUUGUAAAGCACUUUCGGUUGGGAGGACUGCUUCUAGCACUAAUAUUGUUGGAAGUUGACGUUACCUUCAGAAGAAGCACCGGCUAACUCCGUGCCAGCAGCCGCGGUAAUACGGAGGGGACUAGCGUUGUUCGGAAUUACUGGGCGUAAAGAGUUCGUAGGCGGACUGACAAGUUAGAGGUGAAAUCCCAGGGCUCAACCCUGGAACUGCCUUUAAAACUGUCAGUCUAGAGACCGGAAGAGGUUAGGGGAAUACCUAGUGUAGAGGUGAAAUUCGUAGAUAUUAGGUGGAACACCAGUGGCGAAGGCAGCUCUCUGGCCUGAUACUGACGCUGAGGUGCGAAAGUGUGGGGAGCAAACAGGAUUAGAUACCCCCGUAGUC
Molecule: ribosomal RNA, 465 nt
Filed under: uncultured bacterium
Lineage: Bacteria
Description: partial 16S ribosomal RNA
Rfam family: Bacterial small subunit ribosomal RNA
Source: RNAcentral